Molecule: long non-coding RNA, 777 nt
Filed under: Chinchilla lanigera (long-tailed chinchilla)
Lineage: Eukaryota; Metazoa; Chordata; Mammalia; Rodentia; Chinchillidae
Description: lncRNA (ENSCLAG00000027892.1)
Source: RNAcentral
GUUUAUUAUCGGGAAGUGCGGUGCUUAUAUACGGCACGGAGAAACGCGGAAGUUCGAAGGCGGGAAUAACCAAAUAACCCGACAAAGGCGGGAGUAACUAGGCAACGGUGGGCAGUCCUAGUUCUUGAGGCGGGCGUAGCUAGGCAACGGUAGGCAGUCCUUACUUAAAGGGAAAGGCACGUAAGACGGCUACUAAUACACAAUGGAGGUCAGUCACGGUCUCCUACACAAUGGAGUACUACUCAGCCAUAAAGAAGGAUAAACUUGAAACAUUUCUAGAGACUAGGAAUUCAUUGGAAAUUUUGGCCACAGCAACAGAAAACCAACUACGCCCCACCUUACCCAACCCUACCCUGAUUCUUCAGUGCUGCACAGACAGAACACCGGGAGCCAGUUUUCUGGAUUUUCAAGAGCAACGGCCUGCCUUGCCCUGGAGCGCAGCCUUCCCUGGAAGGGAAGCCUGGCAGUGUGACCUCCACGUGCAGCUGGGAGGAGCGAGGUAAUGGCCACUGCCUGCAGCUGCCCCUCUGAGUGACUUGAUUUACAGCUGCUUUGGGAGCCCCACAAUAUUACGUCUCUUGAUUUCAUACCCACAGAAUGUCUCAGCCUUUCUACGCCGUGACUGCGUUAGGUGGUAUUAACGAUUUUCCACUGGGGCGUGUAAAACCUUGGCUUUUAUCCAAACCGAAAUUCAGCCACCCCUUGAGCAUUAUAAUUAAGGUCUAAGUAGAACUUGGCAUCAUUCUUGGGUCCCCCAAAUCAGUCAGCUAACAUCAG